This is a long non-coding RNA of Pomacea canaliculata, 3933 nucleotides long. RefSeq lists it as uncharacterized. The record is from RefSeq and is a predicted model, not a curated record. Lineage: Eukaryota; Metazoa; Mollusca; Gastropoda; Architaenioglossa; Ampullariidae. The transcript has 3 exons.
GUCAAGUUUUGAGCAGCAAACUCCGAAUGAACUCGAGAAGUCCCUGAGGCUUUUCGCUCUUUGAUUAACUGAUCGUGAUGAUCCGGACAGCGUAAAGUCCAUAAGCUGUCGACCCACCGAGGAAAGAUGUAAAUAAACAGAGACUUCAGUAAUCUCAACCAGCAGGUAGAAGAAGCAAAGGCGCCGUCGCCAGGCGUAACUAUCGUUUACAGUCUGACCCGGAUCAUAGGUGACAAGAGCUGCCUCGGCCCCAUUGAGUGCUGAGCCUCUCAGGAGCAGAGAAUGCAAAUAGAGGCAGCCAGACACAAGCAGGUCAAGUUACCCUCGUUUCGCGCAUAAGUACUUCCUCAGGAAGUCUACAGAUGAUCCUCCGUGUACUUGAAAACCAAUUGUUGUUGUGCAGAAGUAUGGGUUGUAGUUCAACUUCCCAUCACAGCAGAAUGACAGUAAUAAAAUUCAAUAUUCUUCGACCUCUUCUUCUCCUACCCUCAUUACUUUUUUUUUCUUUUUUUAUUUCCUGUGCUCUCACUCUCCACCCCCUAUUUUCAUUGUUUUCCUUCUUGUUUUCCUCGUAGCAGGUAUUAAAUGUUUUGUCAAUUAAAGACAAUAUCCAAGCUGUCGUAGUGAAAGGAUAGUGGAAAAUCAAGCGCCAGUGUUUGGAGGCAACGGCUUGAGCUCGGCGUCAAUCACUGCCGCCUCUCCGCGCGGCGAUAGUUCUGACGACAAAUCCUCCACAGGUCUGACCCCGUGACCUCACAAGAGGAUCAACAGAUCGUGGGCAAUGUCUGCUGACGAUAUGCUUCGCCGCCCACGACGACUGCGCCAGCUGCAAGUUAAUGUGUGAUGAUGACAGGAUGGUGUGAGGUCCGGUCCGUUCAAAGCCAGAUAACUCCCUACAGCGGUGGUUUAUGUGUUGUUGGUGUGUAUUGUUAUGAGCUAACUGCUGUGCAACAAUACAACGUUCUCCACAUACACAAAGGGUUACAGUUGUCGUUAUUUUUACCUUGCCUUCGUAUUUUUUUUUUUUUUUGGUAUUGUUGUUGGGGGGUUUGCAUGCAUUCGCUCGUUAAGCAGUGCGGCAAUUGCGUAGAUGGAGGACGUCUUCAACAACUGCAGAGCUAGAAAGUGGAGGAGGAAACAGACAGAAAGGCGUGAUAAACAUGUUUAUUUCUAUUGUACAAUGUACUAUUGUAUAAUCCCCGUCGUGCUUUAUAUACGCAGUGCAUGGAUUCUGAUGUCGUGGUAUGAUACGAACACUUUCUUGUCUCUCUCUCUCCCUCCCUCCAUCUCUUUCCCUCUCACACUCUCAUCCUUUCCUGCCCGCCGCAUGGAGGUCUAGCUCUGUCUCCUCGCUAUAUCUGCCAUUGCUUUCUGUCUGACCUUGCAGGAAGCUUAUCGCCAGCCUUUCAUUUAACAAGCAUCCUGCUGUUUUCCUUCUGAGCUGCACUACGGUAGCCAAAGAUUUCAUUAUUUAUUACAAGCCAUAAAAUUACUGGUGUGCAUAAAAACAAUAUAAAAAUUGUAUCGCACAUGCCUCAUUCUUUGAUAUCUCCCUACACUGCUCACAGCGAUCAAUUCGCGAAUGAUGCAGGCACAACCAUCCAAAUAAACUGAUAUAAAAAGAAUGUUUGUGCACGGGGAAAGAAGUAUAAAGUUUUUGAAGCACAUCGAAUAUGUCGCUUUAGCUGAUAUAUCGUUAGACACAUAUCUCUCCCUUCACCCUUCUGCCCUAACAGAGAUACAUCCGCCAAGGAUGCAGGGCACGGGGCAGGCAAAAUGAGAUUAUUAAUGACAAGGCCCAGGUAAAGAUAAGUGAGACCAAACGGUCUGCUGUAGUUUGUCAGUGAGCUUAUCAGCUCCCGCCGAUUAUUUUGUUUUCAUCUGGCUAAAAAUUUCCCAUGCUGCUGUCAGGUUUGUUUCUUCGGGCUUAUUUUGCCCCCUUCUUUCCAUUCCCAUCCCAUCCCAUUUCACUCACCUCUGUACCUGCCUGCCUUGUGACUCGCAGCGUCUGUAUGACGGGUUAUUUUGAGAAGAUGUAUGCUGGUGAAAUGAACUGCUGAUUUACGAGGCGUUUAUUUACGGGUGGCCAGAUUAUGCAUAAAACUGACAGGUGGAGGUAACUGCAGCACGAUCCAGAAAUACCUAGAAAUGAUUUAGGUGCGGCGGGUGGGUUUCGCCGUAAACGUCAUGGCAGUUACGAGGUAGGUAUGGAAGACAUCUGAAGGAAGGCAGUCUUGUGAAGAAGCCGCAUGUCGUACAGGUGGUUGCAGUAGGUGAUCGGGAUCGUGAGCAGGUUUCAGUCACUGCAGUUCAUUACUGUGUGCUGCCGAACAGAGAUGUGACUAUCUGACCAGCUUUCUUCUUUCUCUCUUCAGUGACGCAGAUGACAUGGUGGGGAUGGAAUAAUGUGACUUGCUCUCCUGUACAGCGGUACAUAUUAUUAAAAGCCGAUUGUGACCAGCAGAUGGCGCUGGCUGCCUGGGGUUAAGUGUACCAGUAUGAUCAGCACUUUGUACGACAUCCCCAAGCCGCUUACUGUACACAUUUUUCACGCACGGCUGGCUUGAACAAUGGCGGGUAUACAAUGGACAGAGGUCGGACAGACUUCGAUCUGGGGGCGAGGUGACAGUUGCCCAUUGUUUCCCUCGCUACCACAAGGACACGCAGCGCUUUGAACUCAGUUAUCCACGCCUCCCUUAACGGAUAACAAUGACGUCUACGUCACAGACAUACACUUCAGAUCAAAUUUCUGUCGUUAAUAAAUUAGUGACACAAUGGCAACCAUUUGACAGCUGAGGAGACUGGUCACCAGCGCAGGUCUUGUCGGUGACUGGUGACGGAAGACUCCUACACUCCGGUCGUAACUGUCAGCAUCGGGCACUGGACAAGUGACAUUCGUGUGACAGCUGCACGACCUAUGACCACCUCCUGUUGAUAAGUUUAGUCAGGUCUGGCGUUCACAAAUCAUUUUCGUAAGACAUCUUACAUCGCAGGCAGGCCGUGCCCCCAACUGCCUUGAUACAUGUCUACGUCACGCAAAGUCGCACACGAGGGGUCCAAGGCAGUUGUCAGCUUACCAAACCUUGACCUCAGUUUUGUCUGCUCUAUUACAUGUAUUCUUCCCAAAAUAAAUUAAAAAAUCAUCUAGCCUAAUCAUAACCCUAAACCUAACUCAGAUCCCAAAACUAUCUUAAUGCUAAAAGGUUAAAACAUAUAGACACAAGUUACCACGAAUAAAGUGUGUAUUGCAAAACAAAAAAUACAUCAAAACCCUCGCCUACAACGUUCACACUAAAAACCACUCAGGCUGCUCGCUGCACUUAUAGCAAUUUUGAGCAAAUCAGUCGCGGGCAGAGGUCAAUUCAGGUACAACAACACGGAAGCAGGCAGGCUAACUCGUUGCCCAUCUUAUGUACCCACUUAGUUGAAUUUCCCUUCAAUCUGCCAUAAAACGUCCAGCUAGGGAAGUUGGUUUUGACAGUGAAAAGUUUUCCCAACCAGCUGUGACAGGUUUUUCAUUCAAUCUGUCGUCCCAUUCUGUCCGUUGCCUUCAGCCCUUUCAUCGACCUGUCCUCUACUUCCUCGUGGACAAUCUGGCGCUGAACGCUGGUGAGGAAUCUGACACAGCUCACACAGCUCUCGGACACACACACACCACAUGUUUUGCCGAGCGUUAAAUUAAUUUGUUUGUUGGACCACAGCUGGACAGCUAAUUUAUCAGGCUCUUAAUGGGAAAGUGUAAGCCGAAAAGAAAGCAAUUAUGCUUAGCCGCUAAUAUUUCAUGUCUUGUACAAAAUGCUCGCAAACAAAGACAGAAGCAUUAUUAUUCUUCCUUGCUCAAGUAUAUAUCUCAGUAUAAUGAAAUUUAUUACUCUACCUGACGAGGAGCUGAGGUGAGGUUUUUUGUUGGAAUUUUAUGUUUGUUUGGGUUUU